CCUGGCGGCCAUAGCGCCGUGGAACCACCUGAUCCCAUGCCGAACUCAGAAGUGAAACGCGGUAGCGCCGAUGGUAGUGUGGCAUUCGCCAUGCGAGAGUAGGACACGGCCAGGC
This 115-nucleotide ribosomal RNA is filed under the name Aeromonas hydrophila. Lineage: Bacteria; Pseudomonadati; Pseudomonadota; Gammaproteobacteria; Aeromonadales; Aeromonadaceae. The record is from RNAcentral.